UACGAAGGGGGCUAGCGUUGUUCGGAAUUACGGGGCGUAAAGCGCGCGCAGGCGGUUCUUCAAGUCAGUGGUGAAAGCCCGGAGCUCAACUCCGGAAUUGCCAUUGAAACUGUAGAACUUGAGUACGAGAGAGGUGAGUGGAAUUCCCAGUGUAGAGGUGAAAUUCGUAGAUAUUGGGAAGAACACCGGUGGCGAAGGCGGCUCACUGGCUCGUAACUGACGCUCAGGCGCGAUAGCGUGGGGAUCAAACAGG
This 253-nucleotide ribosomal RNA is filed under the name uncultured bacterium. RNAcentral's name for it is "partial 16S ribosomal RNA". It matches the Rfam family "Bacterial small subunit ribosomal RNA", at positions 524 to 776 of the family's 1533-position model. The record is from RNAcentral.